CAGACUCCCAAUGUGGCUGGCAACUGCGGGGGUAGAAGAACUCAGGCAAAGUAGGCACAGGAAUGGGGGAGAUGAGAGCCAGGGACAAAAGCCGAGGAAAGCAUUCCAACAAGCAUGUGUGUUCAUACAUGCAUACCCCCAACAAAGGGCAUUGCACUGUGUAACAGAACUGAACACAAUUUAACAAAGCAGCUCCCAGCCUUCCUGUCACCUCUUUGGCAGUAGGGCAGGCCAUCUCAACUUCGGACACACACAGACAUUCUCUUCAGGAGGAAAGCUGUCCUGUGUGGUGGGGACAAGGCUUCAGUUGCAAGAUGGUUGUCUCUCCUUCUUCCUGAAUAAGACAAUGGACCAGUUAUAAGAUUCCAAGUGAAUUCCUUCAAAGGAAGAGAAGGACAACAUAAGAAGGCGUGGAUGACAGACUUUCAGUUAAACUUACAAAGAAAGAACAGUGCAGCACCAUCUAUACCUACCUUUUUCUCAGAGUUUAUAAAAAAAAUUCAUAUUCCCUACAAAGCAAAACUAUGGUAUAACAGGACAACUAAGACUGCCCUGGUGCUCUGCUUCUAGUCGGCCGAGAAGCCUGCAGCAAAUCACUUAAACACUUAAGCUCUUUGUGUGCCAUCCACACCCAAUUGGAACUAGAGACUUUCAUUAGCCCCUUUCUGUCUCAGAGCUUUCAGUGGUUCUACAAGUCACCAGCCUGGAUCUCUAACAAUGUGUCUCUCCAAAGCUGUUAAUACAUUCACAUCCAAAAUAUCUCCAGCCACGAAAUCCCAGUUUAGAGGUUGCCCGUCCUUGUUGAAGAAACAUUUCUACACAAAUACCUGUUGCCUAUACCAGAUGGCCGUACCAAUACCCAAAUACUGACAAACGUUUAAAAGAAUUUACUGUACUCCCUUCACUUUAGAAAUGUUAACAGUUCAAGUCCAACAGAACUUAAAGGAAAAAAAGGGAAAUGUUAACAGUUAAGUAAGGCAUUUAUUUAACAUAAUCUCAACUAAAGUCCAACUAAAGAGCUUCCCCAGGCAAACACUCCUUUUGCACUUCAUUUUGAAGACACAACAAUGCACAAGUUAAAAUCCUAAUAUUACCAUUUUAUUAAAAAUAACUUUUAAGAUCCAAUCUGUGGCCAAUAUUCGAUCUGGAUGCAAAACCCUGGCUUCCAGACAGGCCAGCCGGGGGCACUGCUCUGAAGUCAUUACUUAAGUAUCCCAGUCUCCUCAGUCUGACAGACCUACCCCUGCCCAGCCAAUCUCCACAUAACAGCUAGUUGUUCAUAACAAUAAAUCCCAUCAGAUCCCUGCUUAACUACUCCCCUUCAAAGGCCCCACUGCCCUCAGGAAAUAGUUCAACCACCUUCUGUGGAAAGGCCUUCUAAAACCUCUCUCCGAGUCUGUCUGCUAAUCUCUCCCACUUGACACUCCCCAGGUCUCCGGCCAACUGAACUUCCUGGGCAUUUCCUGAACAAUGCCCCUCAAUAAACCACAUGCAGCUCUC
This 1500-nucleotide non-coding RNA is filed under the name Pongo abelii (Sumatran orangutan). The record is from RNAcentral. Lineage: Eukaryota; Metazoa; Chordata; Mammalia; Primates; Hominidae.